AUUGAACGCUGGCGGCAGGCCUAACACAUGCAAGUCGAGCGGCUGAAGGGUGCUUGCUCCUGGAUUCAGCGGCGGACGGGUGAGUAAUGCCUAGGAAUCUGCCUGGUAGUGGGUGAUAACGUCCGGAAACGGGCGCUAAUACCGCAUUCGUCCUGAGGGCGUACGUGGGGGAUCUUCGGACCUCCCGCUCUCAGAUGAGCCUAGGUGGGAUUAGCUAGUUGGGGGGGUAACGGCCUACCAAGGCGACGAUCCGUAACUGGUCUGCGAGGAUGAUCAGUAAAACUGGAACUGAGACACGUCCCAGAUCCCAAGGGGAGGCAGCGGGGGGAAAAAUUGGACAAGGGGCGAAAGCCUGACCCAGCCAUGCCGCGGGGGGGAAGAAGGUCUUCGGUUUGUAAAGCACUUUAAGGUGGGAGAAAAGGCAGUAAUUUAAUACCCGGCGUUUUGGACGUUACCAACAGAAGAAGCACCGGCAAACUCCUU
Molecule: ribosomal RNA, 483 nt
Filed under: uncultured bacterium
Lineage: Bacteria
Description: partial 16S ribosomal RNA
Rfam family: Bacterial small subunit ribosomal RNA
Source: RNAcentral